GAUGAACGCUGGCGGCGUGCCUAAUACAUGCAAGUCGAGCGAACAGACGAGGAGCUUGCUCCUCUGACGUUAGCGGCGGACGGGUGAGUAACACGUGGAUAACCUACCUAUAAGACUGGGAUAACUUAGGGAAACCGGAGCUAAUACCGGAUAAUAUAUUGAACCGCAUGGUUCAAUAGUGAAAGACGGUUUUGCUGUCCCUUAUAGAUGGAUCCGCGCCGCAUUAGCUAGUUGGUAAGGUAACGGCUUACCAAGGCAACGAUGCGUAGCCGACCUGAGAGGGUGAUCGGCCACACUGGAACUGAGACACGGUCCAGACUCCUACGGGAGGCAGCAGUAGGGAAUCUUCCGCAAUGGGCGAAAGCCUGACGGAGCAACGCCGCGUGAGUGAUGAAGGUCUUCGGAUCGUAAAACUCUGUUAUUAGGGAAGAACAAAUGUGUAAGUAACUAUGCACGUCUUGACGGUACCUAAUCAGAAAGCCACGGCUAACUACGUG
RNAcentral lists this ribosomal RNA (497 nucleotides) under uncultured bacterium. RNAcentral describes it as "partial 16S ribosomal RNA". It matches the Rfam family "Bacterial small subunit ribosomal RNA", at positions 28 to 507 of the family's 1533-position model. The record is from RNAcentral.